Molecule: ribosomal RNA, 480 nt
Filed under: uncultured bacterium
Lineage: Bacteria
Also listed under: 1 other name
Description: bacterial SSU rRNA
Rfam family: Bacterial small subunit ribosomal RNA
Source: RNAcentral
GACGAACGCUGGCGGCGUGCUUAACACAUGCAAGUCGAACGGGACUGCUAUGAAGGAGUUUUCGGACAACGGAUUAGUAGUUUAGUGGCGGACUGGUGAGUAACGCGUGAGGAACCUGCCUUUCAGAGGGGGACAACAGCUGGAAACGGCUGCUAAUACCGCAUGAUAUAUUUGAGUGGCAUCACUCGGAUAUCAAAGAUUUAUCGCUGAAAGAUGGCCUCGCGUCUGAUUAGCUAGUUGGUGAGGUAACGGCCCACCAAGGCGACGAUCAGUAGCCGGACUGAGAGGUUGACCGGCCACAUUGGGACUGAGAUACGGCCCAGACUCCUACGGGAGGCAGCAGUGGGGAAUAUUGGGCAAUGGGCGAAAGCCUGACCCAGCAACGCCGCGUGAAGGAAGAAGGCUUUCGGGUUGUAAACUUCUUUGACAGGGGAAGAGUAGAAGACGGUACCCUGAAAACAAGCCACGGCUAACUACGUG